AAGAACUGUAGUAAACAUCGUAAUAAAGUACCACUAAUUCUCACAUUCUGUACUUCAGACAAAAAUUAAAAACUGAGGUUAGGUUUGGAUAAUGCAGAUCAAGUGAUGAAAAGGAGUACUGCAGUGACUGGCAUGGGGAUAGUGAUGCACCAGAACCCCUGAACAGGUCAAGGGUAUAUCACACGGGCUCACGUUAAGAGCAAUACAGUCUGGUGCAGUGAAGUAAGUGGGUCCAAGAAAACAGUACAUACAAUGACUACAACAAUGGAAAUGGAAAGACUACAAGGCAAUCAGAAGUGAAUGUUGCAGAUUUAUAAAGGGACAAGCUUGGCUACAAAGAGGAGACAUGAGAAGCCACCUCACCGUACUUCCUUUGCAGAGUGUUUGACUCCUGGAUAUAAUGAAAACCCUGGAAAAGUGACCUAAUCCACCAAACCUGGAAAAAAGAGAAAACAAUGCACUAGUAGUUGGGUCAGUCUGUAGGAUCAGAAUCAGCAAGAUUCAUCAUUGUUAAGCCCAGUGAUGAGUAAACUGUAUGAGCUCAAAGAACUGCAGGCCUGAUAUAAUCACAUGGCACAAGGGAAAUUAUUCUGGCAGUAGUAUGAAAAGGAUAGAGAAGAGAACGAAGGUGUUAGGACCAGCUGGGAGACUACUGCAAUAGUGCAGGCCUAGUGCUCUGUCUGCUUCUAGACCUGAUUGGAGAGGAGAGGUUAAAGAGGAUUACAAGGAAUACUAUCGUUCCAUAAGAAAUGAUGGGCAGGUGAACUUCACAAAAACCUGGACUUAACAUGAACUGAUGCUGAGUGAAGUG
Long non-coding RNA from Vombatus ursinus (common wombat), 811 nucleotides. RefSeq lists it as uncharacterized. The record is from RefSeq and is a predicted model, not a curated record. Lineage: Eukaryota; Metazoa; Chordata; Mammalia; Diprotodontia; Vombatidae. The transcript is spliced from 4 exons.